RNAcentral lists this ribosomal RNA (253 nucleotides) under uncultured bacterium. RNAcentral's name for it is "partial 16S ribosomal RNA". It matches the Rfam family "Bacterial small subunit ribosomal RNA", at positions 524 to 776 of the family's 1533-position model. The record is from RNAcentral.
UACGGAGGGGGCUAGCGUUGUUCGGAAUUACUGGGCGUAAAGCGCGCGCAGGCGGCCUCGCGCGCCCGACGUGAAAGCCCCCGGCUUAACCGGGGAGGGUCGUUGGGGACGGCGGGGCUUGAGGGCGGGAGAGGUCGGUGGAAUUCCCGGUGUAGUGGUGAAAUGCGUAGAGAUCGGGAGGAACACCUGUGGCGAAGGCGGCCGACUGGGCCGACCCUGACGCUGAGGCGCGAAGGCGUGGGGAGCGAACAGG